RNAcentral lists this small nuclear RNA (189 nucleotides) under Chelydra serpentina (North American snapping turtle). RNAcentral's name for it is "U2 spliceosomal RNA (ENSCSRG00000006081.1)". It matches the Rfam family "U2 spliceosomal RNA". Rfam says of the family: U2 is a small nuclear RNA (snRNA) component of the spliceosome (involved in pre-mRNA splicing). Complementary binding between U2 snRNA (in an area lying towards the 5' end but 3' to hairpin I) and the branchpoint sequence (BPS) of the intron results the bulging out of an unpaired adenosine, on the BPS, which initiates a nucleophilic attack at the intronic 5' splice site, thus starting the first of two transesterification reactions that mediate splicing. The record is from Rfam by way of RNAcentral. Lineage: Eukaryota; Metazoa; Chordata; Testudines; Chelydridae.
AUCGCUUCUCGGCCUUAUGGCUAAGAUAAGGAUAGUAUCUGUUCUUAUCAGGUUAAUAUCUGAUAUGUUCUUUAUUUGAGAACUGUAUAUUAAUCCAUUUUUGGGAUAGAGAGAUGGAAUAGGAGCUUGCUCCAUCCACUCUGCGCAUCAACCCGGUAUUGCAGUACUUCCGGGCAUGGUGCAGCUCCC